AUAGUGGACAAUGGGGGCAACCCUGAUCCAGCCAUGCCGCGUGUGCGAAGAAGGUCUUCGGAUUGUAAAGCACUUUCAGUUGGGAGGAAGGGCUUUAGGUUAAUACCCUGAAGAUUUGCCGUUACCAACAGAACAAGCACCCGCUAACUCUGUGCCAGCAGCCGCGGUAAUACAGAGGGUGCAAGCGUUAAUCGGAAUUACUGGGCGUAAAGCGCGCGUAGGUGGUUCAGUAAGAUGGGUGUGAAAGCCCCGGGCUUAACCUGGGAAAUGCUUUCAUAACUGCUGAGCUAGAGUACGGUAGAGGGUAGUGGAAUUUCCUGUGUAGCGGUGAAAUGCGUAGAUAUAGGAAGGAACACCAGUGGCGAAGGCGACUACCUGGACUGAUACUGACACUGGGGUGCGAAAGCGUGGGGAGCAAACA
RNAcentral lists this ribosomal RNA (421 nucleotides) under uncultured bacterium. RNAcentral's name for it is "partial 16S ribosomal RNA". It matches the Rfam family "Bacterial small subunit ribosomal RNA", at positions 361 to 774 of the family's 1533-position model. The record is from RNAcentral.